Molecule: ribosomal RNA, 404 nt
Filed under: uncultured bacterium
Lineage: Bacteria
Description: bacterial SSU rRNA
Rfam family: Bacterial small subunit ribosomal RNA
Source: RNAcentral
UGGGGAAUAUUGGACAAUGGGGGAAACCCUGAUCCAGCAAUGCCGCGUGAGUGAAGAAGGCCUUCGGGUUGUAAAGCUCUUUUACCGGGGACGAUAAUGACGGUACCCGGAGAGUAAGCACCGGCUAACUUCGUGCCAGCAGCCGCGGUAAUACGAAGGGUGCUAGCGUUGUUCGGAAUUACUGGGCGUAAAGGGCGCGUAGGCGGCUAUAUAAGUUAGAUGUGAAAGCCUUGGGCUUAACCUGAGAACUGCAUUUAAUACUGUAUAGCUAGAGGUCGAGAGCGGAUAGUGGAAUUACUAGUGGAGAGGUGAAAUUCGUAGAUAUUAGUAAGAACACCAGUGGCGAAGGCAGCUAUCUGGCUCGAAUCUGACGCUGAGGCGCGAAAGCGUGGGGAGCAAACAGG